This 277-nucleotide long non-coding RNA is filed under the name Elaeis guineensis (African oil palm). RNAcentral's name for it is "long non-coding RNA (EGUI_LNC080600)". The record is from RNAcentral. Lineage: Eukaryota; Viridiplantae; Streptophyta; Magnoliopsida; Arecales; Arecaceae.
GCGUGAAGAGGUGCGAGGAUAGCAUCCUUCUGUGAGAAUUUUAUUACUAUUUUUAAUUUUUUAGAAUUUAAAUUAAAUUCUCAAUCUACAUGGAUUUUUGAGGAUUUUUUUUAUUUGAGAAGAUAUGUGAAAAUAUUUCUUCUUUGGUUGCACAUGCACAGACCAGGGUGCUGAUCGAUGUAUCAUGGAUAAGAGUCCUUCUGCUUGAAGGAACUCUUAUCUCUGAUAAUCAGAUCAGAUAUACCUUUUGGAUAAGGCAUGUCCCUCUCUUUUAGAG